GAUGGUGUAGCUUAGCGGUAGAGCACGUGCCUAGCAUGCAUGAGGUCCAGGGUUCAAUCCCCAGGACCUCCA
RNAcentral lists this transfer RNA (72 nucleotides) under Camelus bactrianus (Bactrian camel). It matches the Rfam family "tRNA". From Rfam's summary of the family: Transfer RNA (tRNA) molecules are approximately 80 nucleotides in length. Lineage: Eukaryota; Metazoa; Chordata; Mammalia; Artiodactyla; Camelidae. The record is from Rfam by way of RNAcentral. RNAcentral also lists the same sequence under 2 other names.